RNAcentral lists this non-coding RNA (25 nucleotides) under Mus musculus (house mouse). The record is from RNAcentral. Lineage: Eukaryota; Metazoa; Chordata; Mammalia; Rodentia; Muridae.
UGCCAGAAGGUCCGAUUUGUAAUGG